Lytechinus variegatus (green sea urchin) is the source of this 903-nucleotide long non-coding RNA. RefSeq lists it as uncharacterized. Lineage: Eukaryota; Metazoa; Echinodermata; Echinoidea; Temnopleuroida; Toxopneustidae. The transcript has 3 exons. The record is from RefSeq and is a predicted model, not a curated record.
GUCCCUGUUUUCACGAAGUGACGGAUAAGAGGAAAAUUGUCACUUUUUUCAAUUUUGAGUUUUUUGCAUUUUUGGACAUCUAUGACUUAUAUCUUGAACCUCAAAAAGUUUCAGAUCACAAUAAUGUCUAAUUACGUUGCUAUGACGACAUGACAUUCAAUAAAAUACCGGGUAAAAGGAUUUCUUGUUUUCACGAAGUGACGGAUAAGCAGCCGUCAUUACGUGAAAACAAACGAAUACGCUUUGCACUCAAAGAGUUUUUUCACGAAGUGACGGAAGGCAAAUAUUUACAGUUUGGAACAGCCGAAGACCAUGAAAUGAUGCAGUAUAUACAAUAAGUGAUGUUUCAGAGAACAAAUGAGAGAAGUCCUGGAACUGGUACACUUGCUAUUUAACAAUGCUGAUGGUCAGAUACAAUUCCAGGUUAGAUCCAGGGGCCGACACGCUUGUCAGAUGUGUCAUUGAUGAUUCCCUGAACAUCGCAGAUAUGAUCUGAUUUGGUGACAUGACAGUGGAAUUGGUAGUGACUGGAUUUUUAUAGUGUGCCCUGGUUUUGAACUAUUGAAGUAACCAAACUAGAAACAUCUUCUGAGAACUCUGACUGCAAUUCUAAUGAUGAAACUCUGUCUACACUUGUGAAAAUGUGAAGGAGUUGGCUCUACCUCGUGGCCUUUCAGGUUCAGUGCUCUCAUCUAACUUUUUCUUUUUCCAGCUGGGUAACUGAUAUCAAUUUUAAUUUUCUUUAGAUUUUGACUUCAACAUAAGUUUAGUUUUAAUUUUGAUAGGACUUUCAAAUCUGGUUUCAUUUUUAGAGCAGUGUAUUAUAUAAAGAAACUAUACUGCUUGAACUAUAAGUCUCUGCUCUUAUAGUGAUAUGAUUAUGAACUCCUUUAAAAAUAUUUU